UGCGGUCUCAUGAUGGAGGACCAUGUCACACUAGGGACUUGAGACACGGCCCAGACUCCUACGGGAGGCAGCAGUGGGGAAUUUUCCGCAAUGGGCGAAAGCCUGACGGAGCAAUACCGCGUGAGGGAGGAAGGCUCUUGGGUUGUAAACCUCUUUUCUCAGGGAAUAAGAAAGUGAAGGUACCUGAGGAAUCAGCAUCGGCUAACUCCGUGCCAGCAGCCGCGGUAAUACGGAGGAUGCAAGCGUUAUCCGGAAUGAUUGGGCGUAAAGCGUCCGCAGGUGGUUGCUCAAGUCUGCUGUCAAAGAGUCUGGCUCAACCAGAUAAAGGCAGUGGAAACUGAGAGACUAGAGUGCGGUAGGGGCAGAGGGAAUUCCUGGUGUAGCGGUGAAAUGCGUAGAGAUCAGGAAGAACACCGGUGGCGAAAGCGCUCUGCUGGACCGCAACUGACACUGAGGGACGAAAGCUAGGGGAGCGAAUGGGAUUAGAUACCCCAGUAGUCA
Molecule: ribosomal RNA, 501 nt
Filed under: uncultured Stigonematales cyanobacterium
Lineage: Bacteria; Bacillati; Cyanobacteriota; Cyanophyceae; Nostocales; Stigonemataceae
Description: bacterial SSU rRNA
Rfam family: Bacterial small subunit ribosomal RNA
Source: RNAcentral